UGGAAACAAUCCAAGCCGUUGGCGGAGCUUGCUCCUUGAUUCUCGGCGGACGGGUGAGUAAUGCCUAGGAAUCUGCCUGGUAGUGGGGGACAACGUUUCGAAAGGAACGCUAAUACCGCAUACGUCCUACGGGAGAAAGCAGGGGACCUUCGGGCCUUGCGCUAUCAGAUGAGCCUAGGUCGGAUUAGCUAGUUGGUGAGGUAAUGGCUCACCAAGGCGACGAUCCGUAACUGGUCUGAGAGGAUGAUCAGUCACACUGGAACUGAGACACGGUCCAGACUCCUACGGGAGGCAGCAGUGGGGAAUAUUGGACAAUGGGCGAAAGCCUGAUCCAGCCAUGCCGCGUGUGUGAAGAAGGUCUUCGGAUUGUAAAGCACUUUAAGUUGGGAGGAAGGGCAGUAAGUUAAUACCUUGCUGUUUUGACGUUACCGACAGAAUAAGCACCGGCUAACUCUGUGCCAGCAGCCGCGGUAAUACAGAGGGUGCAAGCGUUAAUCGGAAUUACUGGGCGUAAAGCGCGCGUAGGUGGUUCGUUAAGUUGGAUGUGAAAGCCCCGGGCUCAACCUGGGAACUGCAUCCAAACUGGCGAGCUAGAGUACGGUAGAGGGUGGUGGAAUUUCCUGUGUAGCGGUGAAAUGCGUAGAUAUAGGAAGGAACAC
Molecule: ribosomal RNA, 659 nt
Filed under: Pseudomonas sp. HPC1248
Lineage: Bacteria; Pseudomonadati; Pseudomonadota; Gammaproteobacteria; Pseudomonadales; Pseudomonadaceae
Description: bacterial SSU rRNA
Rfam family: Bacterial small subunit ribosomal RNA
Source: RNAcentral